UAUUAAACGGCCGCAGUAUCCUGACUGUGCAAAGGUAGCAUAAUAAUUUGCCCUCUAAUUAGGGGCUGGUAUGAAUGGAAAAACGAAAUUAUAACUGUCUCUUUUUUAAAUAUAAAAACUAAACUACAAGUGAAGAUGCCUGUAUUAUACUAAAGGACAAAAAGACCCUGUUGAGCUUUACCUACAAUAAAUUUUAAUAAUUUAUUAAGGUUUAGUUGGGGCGACUAAGGAAAACUAAAGCUUCCAUUUAUAUAAAGACAUAUAUGUCUAACAAAUGAUCUGUAUAAACAACCAAUAGAAAAGCUACCACAGGGAUAACAGACUAAUCCUCCUCAAGAGUUCAAAUUGACAGGAGGGCUUGGCACCUCGAUGUUGGCUUAAGGUAUCCACUAAGUGCAGCAACUUAGUAGGUAGGUUUGUUCAACCUUUAAAAUCUUACA
Molecule: ribosomal RNA, 440 nt
Filed under: Scoletoma magnidentata
Lineage: Eukaryota; Metazoa; Annelida; Polychaeta; Eunicida; Lumbrineridae
Description: partial 16S ribosomal RNA
Rfam family: Bacterial large subunit ribosomal RNA
Source: RNAcentral